CCCUUAGAUGUUCUGGGCCGCACGCGCGCUACACUGACAGAGCCAACGAGUUCUUCACCUUGGCCGGAAGGUCUGGGUAAUCUUGUUAAACUCUGUCGUGCUGGGGAUAGAGCAUUGCAAUUAUUGCUCUUCAACGAGGAAUGCCUAGUAAGCGCAUGUCAUCAGCAUGCGUUGAUUACGUCCCUGCCCUUUGUACACACCGCCCGUCGCUACUACCGAUUGAAUGGCUCGGCCCGUGCCCCCGCCCCGC
Molecule: ribosomal RNA, 250 nt
Filed under: Dothideomycetes sp.
Lineage: Eukaryota; Fungi; Ascomycota; Dothideomycetes
Description: partial small subunit ribosomal RNA
Rfam family: Eukaryotic small subunit ribosomal RNA
Source: RNAcentral